CAGCAGCCGCGGUAAUCCGAAGGGGGCUAGCGUUGUUCGGAUUUACUGGGCGUAAAGGGCGCGUAGGCGGGCGAAUAAGUCAGGGGUGAAAUCCCAAGGCUCAACCUUGGAACUGCCUUUGAUACUGUUUGUCUUGAGUUCGAGAGAGGUAAGUGGAACUGCGAGUGUAGAGGUGAAAUUCGUAGAUAUUCGCAAGAACACCAGUGGCGAAGGCGGCUCACUGGCCCGGAACUGACGCUGAGGCACGACAGCGUGGGGAGCAAACAGGAUUAGAUACCCCAGUAGUCCCUGUCUCUUAUAC
Molecule: ribosomal RNA, 301 nt
Filed under: uncultured bacterium
Lineage: Bacteria
Description: partial 16S ribosomal RNA
Rfam family: Bacterial small subunit ribosomal RNA
Source: RNAcentral